CCCCCAGUAGCGGCGAGCGAACGGGGAGCAGCCCAGAGCCUGAAUCAGUGUGUGUGUUAGUGGAAGCGUCUGGAAAAGCGCGCGAUACAGGGUGACAGCCCCGUACACAAAAAUGCACAUGCUGUGAGCUCGAUGAGUAGGGCGGGACACGUGGUAUCCUGUCUGAAUAUGGGGGGACCAUCCUCCAAGGCUAAAUACUCCUGACUGACCGAUAGUGAACCAGUACCGUGAGGGAAAGGCGAAAAGAACCCCGGCGAGGGGAGUGAAAAAGAACCUGAAACCGUGUACGUACAAGCAGUGGGAGCACGCUUCGGCGUGUGACUGCGUACCUUUUGUAUAAUGGGUCAGCGACUUAUAUUCUGUAGCAAGGUUAACCGAAUAGGGGAGCCGAAGGGAAACCGAGUCUUAACUGGGCGUUAAGUUGCAGGGUAUAGACCCGAAACCCGGUGAUCUAGCCAUGGGCAGGUUGAAGGUUGGGUAACACUAACUGGAGGACCGAACCGACUAAUGUUGAAAAAUUAGCGGAUGACUUGUGGCUGGGGGUGAAAGGCCAAUCAAACCGGGAGAUAGCUGGUUCUCCCCGAAAGCUAUUUAGGUAGCGCCUCGUGAAUUCAUCUCCGGGGGUAGAGCACUGUUUCGGCAAGGGGGUCAUCCCGACUUACCAACCCGAUGCAAACUGCGAAUACCGGAGAAUGUUAUCACGGGAGACACACGGCGGGUGCUAACGUCCGUCGUGAAGAGGGAAACAACCCAGACCGCCAGCUAAGGUCCCAAAGUCAUGGUUAAGUGGGAAACGAUGUGGGAAGGCCCAGACAGCCAGGAUGUUGGCUUAGAAGCAGCCAUCAUUUAAAGAAAGCGUAAUAGCUCACUGGUCGAGUCGGCCUGCGCGGAAGAUGUAACGGGGCUAAACCAUGCACCGAAGCUGCGGCAGCGACG
RNAcentral lists this ribosomal RNA (936 nucleotides) under Escherichia coli. Its description in RNAcentral is "partial 23S ribosomal RNA". It matches the Rfam family "Bacterial large subunit ribosomal RNA", at positions 237 to 1213 of the family's 2925-position model. Lineage: Bacteria; Pseudomonadati; Pseudomonadota; Gammaproteobacteria; Enterobacterales; Enterobacteriaceae. The record is from RNAcentral.